This 401-nucleotide ribosomal RNA is filed under the name uncultured bacterium. Its description in RNAcentral is "bacterial SSU rRNA". It matches the Rfam family "Bacterial small subunit ribosomal RNA", at positions 356 to 773 of the family's 1533-position model. The record is from RNAcentral.
GAGGAAUUUUCCGCAAUGGACGCAAGUCUGACGGAGCAACGCCGCGUGCAGGAGGACGGUCUUCGGAUCGUAAACUGCUUUUCCCAGGGAAGAGCAAGGACGGUACCUGGGGAACAAGCCCCGGCUAACUACGUGCCAGCAGCCGCGGUAAUACGUAGGGGGCAAGCGUUGUCCGGAGUUACUGGGCGUAAAGCGCCCGCAGGCGGUCGCGUCAGUUCGAGGUGACAGCUGUCGGCUUAACCGACAGAGGACCUUGAAGACGGCGCGACUUGAGGGCCAGAGAGGGACAUGGAACUCCGGGUGGAGUGGUGAAAUGCGUAGAGAUCCGGAAGAACACCAAAGGCGAAGGCAGUGUCCUGGCUGGCACCUGACGCUCGGGGGCGAAAGCGAGGGGAGCGUAC